CCUACGGGUGGCAGCAGUGAGGAAUAUUGGUCAAUGGACGAGAGUCUGAACCAGCCAAGUAGCGUGAAGGAUGACUGCCCUAUGGGUUGUAAACUUCUUUUAUAUGGUCAUAAAACAGGGUAUGCAUACCCUCUUGUAUGGACCAUAUGAAUAAGGAUCGGCUAACUCCGUGCCAGCAGCCGCGGUAAUACGGUGGAACAGAGCGUUAUCCGGAUUUAUUGGGUUUAAAGGGGGCGUAGGUGGAUUGUUAAGUUAGUUGUGAAAGUUUGCGGCUCAACCGUAAAAUUGCAGUUGAAACUGGCAGUCUUGAGUGCAGUAGAGGUAGGCGGAAUGCGUGGUGUAGCGGUGAAAUGAUUAGAUAUCACGAAGAACUCCGAUUGCGAAGGCAGCUCACUGGACUGCAACUGACACUGAUGCUCGAAAGUGUGGGUAUCAAACAGGAUUAGAUACCCUUGUAGUC
Molecule: ribosomal RNA, 460 nt
Filed under: uncultured bacterium
Lineage: Bacteria
Description: partial 16S ribosomal RNA
Rfam family: Bacterial small subunit ribosomal RNA
Source: RNAcentral